This 253-nucleotide ribosomal RNA is filed under the name uncultured bacterium. Its description in RNAcentral is "partial 16S ribosomal RNA". It matches the Rfam family "Bacterial small subunit ribosomal RNA", at positions 524 to 776 of the family's 1533-position model. The record is from RNAcentral.
UACGUAGGGUCCGAGCGUUGUCCGGAAUUACUGGGCGUAAAGAGCUCGUAGGUGGUUUGUCGCGUUGUUCGUGAAAACUCACAGCUCAACUGUGGGCGUGCGGGCGAUACGGGCAGACUGGAGUACUGCAGGGGAGACUGGAAUUCCUGGUGUAGCGGUGGAAUGCGCAGAUAUCAGGAGGAACACCGGUGGCGAAGGCGGUGGUCUGGGCCGGAACUGACGCUGAGGAGCGAAAGCGUGGGGAGCGAACAGG